Molecule: long non-coding RNA, 519 nt
Filed under: Marmota monax (woodchuck)
Lineage: Eukaryota; Metazoa; Chordata; Mammalia; Rodentia; Sciuridae
Source: RNAcentral
CCCAGGGCUUGUGCAUGUGAGGCAAGCACUCUACCAACUGAGCUAUAUCCCCAGCCUUAUAUCUCUUUUAAUUAUCAUGGAACUAUAGUAAAAAAAUCUACCCAACAAAUGUAAAGUUUGGUGACUAACACAUGUUCCUAAUUUUUCCGAUAUUGUCUAUGAAAGCCUACAAUUCUCAUUUUUCUGAAGAAAACUUGCAUUCCCGUCUUAGGCAAGUGUCUUUAACCGUGCAGGGUUCUACAGAUCUCAUCCCUUCUUUAAGGUGUGAAACCAGGUAGUUACAUGUUCACGGCUCUGAGAGCCAGGUCUGGGAUAAGACUCAUUUAUUUGUGAGACGGGUUCUGCAAAUAAUGUGAUUACUGUUGUAUAUUCGAAAUGCUCCACAAACGCACACUUUAGGGUAGUUCUAAGUGAUACCGGAAAUAGGAAAAUAGAUUCUAAACUCUCGGGGCGAAGACCAUGUCUUGCUUUUGGCACUCUGAAGUACUGCAUGUGCCUAAAGAUCUUAUAAACAUUCAA